RNAcentral lists this ribosomal RNA (463 nucleotides) under Vreelandella stevensii. RNAcentral describes it as "partial 16S ribosomal RNA". It matches the Rfam family "Bacterial small subunit ribosomal RNA", at positions 338 to 794 of the family's 1533-position model. The record is from RNAcentral. Lineage: Bacteria; Pseudomonadati; Pseudomonadota; Gammaproteobacteria; Oceanospirillales; Halomonadaceae.
CCUACGGGGGGCAGCAGUGGGGAAUAUUGGACAAUGGGCGAAAGCCUGAUCCAGCCAUGCCGCGUGUGUGAAGAAGGCCUUCGGGUUGUAAAGCACUUUCAGUGGGGAAGAAAGCCUUGGGGCUAAUACCCUCGAGGAAGGACAUCACCCACAGAAGAAGCACCGGCUAACUCCGUGCCAGCAGCCGCGGUAAUACGGAGGGUGCGAGCGUUAAUCGGAAUUACUGGGCGUAAAGCGCGCGUAGGCGGUCUGAUAAGCCGGUUGUGAAAGCCCCGGGCUCAACCUGGGAACGGCAUCCGGAACUGUCAGGCUAGAGUGCAGGAGAGGAAGGUAGAAUUCCCGGUGUAACGGUGAAAUGCGUAGAGAUCGGGAGGAAUACCAGUGGCGAAGGCGGCCAUCUGGACUGACACUGACGCUGAGGUGCGAAAGCGUGGGUAGCAAACAGGAUUAGAUACCCCAGUGU